Molecule: ribosomal RNA, 597 nt
Filed under: Topeliopsis decorticans
Lineage: Eukaryota; Fungi; Ascomycota; Lecanoromycetes; Ostropales; Graphidaceae
Description: eukaryotic LSU rRNA
Rfam family: Eukaryotic large subunit ribosomal RNA
Source: RNAcentral
GACGGCCGGACAAAGGCCUUGGGAAGGUAGCCUCUUCGGGGAGUGUUAUAGCCCGGGGUGCAAUGCGGCCUGCCGGGACCGAGGACCGCGCUUUUGCUAGGAUGCUGGCUUAAUGGCUGCCAGCGACCCGUCUUGAAACACGGACCAAGGAGUCGACCUACCGCGCGAGUGUUUGGGCGUUAAACCCAUGCGCGUAAUGAAAGUGAACGGAGGUGGGAGCCCUUUGGGUGCACCAUCGACCGAUCCUGAUGUCUUCGGAUGGAUUUGAGUACGAGCGCCGUGGGUCGGACCCGAAAGAUGGUGAUCUAUACGUGAAUAGGGUGAAGCCAGAGGAAACUCUGGUGGAGGCUCGCAGCGGUUCUGACGUGCAAAUCGAUCGUCAAAUUUGCGUAUAGGGGCGAAAGACUAAUCGAACCGUCUAGUAGCUGGUUCCUGUCGAAGUUUCCCUCAGGAUAGCAGUAACGAAAACAGUCUCAUUAGGUAGAGCAACGAUUAGAGGCCUUGGGGUUGAAACAACCUUAACCUAUUCUCGAACUUCGAAUAUGUGAGAAGUCCUUGUUGCUUAAUUGAACGUGGACAUUGGAUUACCUAUUAGUA